Molecule: ribosomal RNA, 755 nt
Filed under: uncultured Fusobacterium sp.
Lineage: Bacteria; Fusobacteriati; Fusobacteriota; Fusobacteriia; Fusobacteriales; Fusobacteriaceae
Description: bacterial SSU rRNA
Rfam family: Bacterial small subunit ribosomal RNA
Source: RNAcentral
GAUGAACGCUGGCGGCGUGCAUAAUACAUGCAAGUCGAACGCUGGAGAUCUAGCUUGCUAGAUCGAAGGAGUGGCGAACGGGUGAGUAAUACAUAAGCAACCUACCCACGAAGACUGGGAUAAUCUCUGGAAACGGGGACUAAUACCGGAUAGGUAAUCGGAAGGCAUCUUCUGGUUAUUAAAGGUUAAAAACACUGGUGGAUGGGCUUAUGGCGCAUUAGUUAGUUGGUGAGGUAACGGCCCACCAAGACGAUGAUGCGUAGCCGGCCUGAGAGGGUGAACGGCCACAUUGGGACUGAGACACGGCCCAGACUCCUACGGGAGGCAGCAGUGAGGAAUAUUGGACAAUGGUCGGAAGACUGAUCCAGCCAUGCCGCGUGCAGGAUGAAGGUCCUAUGGAUUGUAAACUGCUUUUGUAAGGGAAGAAUAAGGAGUACGUGUACUUUGAUGACGGUACCUUACGAAUAAGCAUCGGCUAACUCCGUGCCAGCAGCCGCGGUAAUACGGAGGAUGCGAGCGUUAUCCGGAAUCAUUGGGUUUAAAGGGUCCGUAGGCGGGCUGAUAAGUCAGAGGUGAAAGCGCUUAGCUCAACUAAGCAACUGCCUUUGAAACUGUCAGUCUUGAAUGAUUGUGAAGUAGUUGGAAUGUGUAGUGUAGCGGUGAAAUGCUUAGAUAUUACACAGAACACCGAUAGCGAAGGCAUAUUACUAACAAUUUAUUGACGCUGAUGGACGAAAGCGUGGGGAGCGAACAGG